This 563-nucleotide long non-coding RNA is filed under the name Mus caroli (Ryukyu mouse). RNAcentral's name for it is "RIKEN cDNA 0610012D04 gene (MGP_CAROLIEiJ_G0003047.1)". Lineage: Eukaryota; Metazoa; Chordata; Mammalia; Rodentia; Muridae. The record is from RNAcentral.
GACAUCUCCGCACCAAACACACAGCUUGUGGGUGCCUCACAGCCUCUGGCCCACCAUGACCGCAAAGUCAGCUCCAGAAGUCGUGGAUUAUCUGCGGAGAAGCCACUACGUGCCGCACCAACUGUUUCCACAGGCAACGAAGGCUCCGAUAAACUCAGGAGGCCUUGGGACAAGCCGCAGAUGACUUGUUUAUGAGACAAGAACAUGUGAAGCCCUAAUAACUGGAUACAAUUCCUGUCUCUUUAGUUGCAAGGGAAACCGUGCCCUUCCUUGGGCUCAGUGGCUCCCUUGGCAGCUGAGCACCCUUGGUAUGUGUCUCUGGAGUCAAGUGCUGGGAUUGGCUGGUGAAACCCACUCCAUCCCUCAAAGAACAGAGUACAGCUUGCCUCAAGUCCCAGGAAAUGUGGGGAUAAAAGAACAGUGUUACCAAGUCCAACUCCACUUCUAUCUCCACUCUGUGACUAAUUUCUUUGUAUCUUUGACGAAUGUGUUCUGCUUGAAGCAGGUCUUAGCCUUCAAGGUGUAUGUACGUUUGUAAUUCUUGAACUCAUUUGAAUUUCACC